GGUUCCGUGGUGUAGUUGGUUAUCACGUCAGUCUAACAACUGCUUGCUCAGCAAGUUCGGUCGUCCCACUGAAGGUCCCCGGAUCGAGCCCGGGCGGAAUCA
Molecule: transfer RNA, 102 nt
Filed under: Venturia inaequalis
Lineage: Eukaryota; Fungi; Ascomycota; Dothideomycetes; Venturiales; Venturiaceae
Description: tRNA-Val
Source: RNAcentral